CGGAUGGGCAUGCGGAGCAUUAGCUAGUAGGCGGGGUAACGGCCCACCAAGGCGACGAUGAGUAGGGGUUCUGAGAGGAAGGUCCCCCACACUGGUACUGAGACACGGACCAGACUCCUACGGGAGGCAGCAGUGAGGAAUAUUGGUCAAUGGGCGGGAGCCUGAACCAGCCAAGUCGCGUGAGGGAAGACGGUCCUAUGGAUUGUAAACCUCUUUUGUCGGGGAGCAAAGAGGCCUCGUGAGGUCAAAAGCGAGAGUACCCGAAGAAAAAGCAUCGGCUAACUCCGUGCCAGCAGCCGCGGUAAUACGGAGGAUGCGAGCGUUAUCCGGAUUUAUUGGGUUUAAAGGGUGCGUAGGCGGGACGGUAAGUCAGCGGUAAAAAUGCGGAGCUCAACUCCGUCGAGCCGUUGAAACUGCCGUUCUUGAGUGAGCGAGAAGUAUGCGGAAUGCGUGGUGUAGCGGUGAAAUGCAUAGAUAUCACGCAGAACUCCGAUUGCGAAGGCAGCAUACCGGCGCUCAACUGACGCUGAAGCACGAAGGCGUGGGUAUCGAACAGGAUUAGAUACCCUGGUAGUCCACGCAGUAAACGAUGAAUGCUAAUUGUCCGUUGCGAAUGAGCGAUGGGUGAUACAGCGAAAGCGUUAAGCAUUCCACCUGGGGAGUACGCCGGCAACGGUGAAACUCAAAGGAAUUGACGGGGGCCCGCACAAGCGGAGGAACAUGUGGUUUAAUUCGAUGAUACGCGAGGAACCUUACCCGGGCUCAGACGCCGUCUGACGUGCCUUGAAAGAGGUAUUUCUUCGGACAGGCGGCGAGGUGCUGCAUGGUUGUCGUCAGCUCGUGCCGUGAGGUGUCGGCUUAAGUGCCAUAACGAGCGCAACCCCUGUCGACAGUUGCUAACAGGUAAAGCUGAGGACUCUGUCGAGACUGCCGGCGCAAGCUGUGAGGAAGGCGGGGAUGACGUCAAAUCAGCACGGCCCUUACGUCCGGGGCGACACACGUGUUACAAUGGCAGGUACAGCGGGAAGCCACCCGGCGACGGGGCGCGGAACCCGAAAACCUGUCUCAGUUCGGAUUGGAGUCUGCAACCCGACUCCAUGAAGCUGGAUUCGCUAGUAAUCGCGCAUCAGCCACGGCGCGGUGAAUACGUUCCCGGGCCUUGCACACACCGCCCGUCAAG
RNAcentral lists this ribosomal RNA (1180 nucleotides) under uncultured bacterium. RNAcentral's name for it is "bacterial SSU rRNA". It matches the Rfam family "Bacterial small subunit ribosomal RNA", at positions 222 to 1401 of the family's 1533-position model. The record is from RNAcentral.